UACUUAAAUAUAUCACGGUUUUUUUUUCUUCACCAUCCGUGAGGAGAACUUAAAUAUAUCACGUUAUUUUUUUUUUUCCACAGAAGGAUCUGUUUAUGUGGUUACACAUGCACAGGUACGUCUUUUUCGGCAUAUCUCGAGCAUAAAGGUUUGCUUUCUGUGUUAUAAUCUCUCCAAAGCCAUCUGAAAACGUUCUGCCUCUGCUCUAUCUCAAGAAACCCGAUACAGUCCCAAGGGUAAAAGAAGCCACGUUUAAAGGAUGGUCUCGGUUAUAUUUAGCUGAGCAGCAGCACCGGCUGACACGAGCAGAAACACAAGGAAGAACAAAGUGAAAACGCUCGACAGUUGUUAACAAAAACCUGCGAGUAUCUGAGUUGUUCAAACAGGGUAGGAAAGUCCCUGACUACAUAAAAUAACCAGGAGGUUUCAGGGAGCCUGUUUUUCCCAUGAUUAAAAUUCUCUUGGCAGUG
This is a non-coding RNA of Lonchura striata (white-rumped munia), 470 nucleotides long. The record is from RefSeq and is a predicted model, not a curated record. NCBI's taxonomy places the organism in Eukaryota, Metazoa, Chordata, Aves, Passeriformes, Estrildidae.